CUACAUGAAGCUGGAAUCGCUAGUAAUCGCGAAUCAGAAUGUCGCGGUGAAUACGUUCCCGGGUCUUGUACACACCGCCCGUCACACCAUGGGAGUCGGAAAUGCCCGAAGUCAGUGACCCAACCGCAAGGAGGGAGCUGCCGAAGGUGGAGCCGGUAACUGGGGUGAAGUCGUAACAAGGUAUC
RNAcentral lists this ribosomal RNA (185 nucleotides) under uncultured bacterium. RNAcentral describes it as "partial 16S ribosomal RNA". It matches the Rfam family "Bacterial small subunit ribosomal RNA", at positions 1316 to 1500 of the family's 1533-position model. The record is from RNAcentral.